Potamilus streckersoni is the source of this 72-nucleotide non-coding RNA. Lineage: Eukaryota; Metazoa; Mollusca; Bivalvia; Unionida; Unionidae. The record is from the annotation of a GenBank genome assembly.
GCUCCGAUGACCUAGUGGUUAGAGCGUCCGCCUCAGAUGCGGGUGGUCGUGGGUUCGAUCCCAGGCUGAGUA